AUGGGUGCUAAUGCAUCUCAUUAUCCUCAUCCAUGUUCCGCGAAGGUAGGGGGAAAUUCACAGGCCCAACAGACUUUUAUAGGGACGUCAUCCUAUUCUCAGCAAGGCUAUGGUUGUGAAUCAAAAUUGUAUAGCCUUGACCAUGGCCAUGAGAAACCACAAGACAAAAAAAAGAGGCCGGGCACGGUGGCUCACGCCUGUAAUCCCAGCACUUUGGGAGGCCGAGACGGGCGGAUCACGACGUCAGGAGAUCGAGACCAUCCUGGCUAAUAUGGUGAAACCCUGUCUCUACUAAAAAAUACAAAAAAUUAGCCGGGCGUGGUGGCGGGCGCCUGUAGUCCCAGCUACUCGGGAGGCUGAGGCAGGAGAAUGGCGGGAACCUGGGAGGCAGAGCUUGCAGUGAGCCGAGAUCGAGCCACUGCACUCCAGCCUGGGCGACAAAGCCAGACUGUCUCAAAAAAAAAAAAAAAAAAAAAAAAAAAAAAAGACCUCUGGCCCUGCUACCUUCAAAAAGAACUUAAUUAAGCCUCGAAAAUCUGAUAGGUCUGCCGAUCAUGCCAAGCAGAUGCGAGAACUCCUCUCUGGGUGGGAUAUUAGAGAUGUCAAUGCAUUAGCGGAGGAAUAUGAGGGAAGGUCAGCAUUAAAGAAGCUUUCCCUACAAGCCAGUUUGGCUAGACCGGAAGCCCGGACAUUGCAGAAAGAUAUGGCUGAUCUUUAUGAGUACAAGUAUCGUACUGAUACAGAUUUCAUAUUUCAAGAAACUUGUUAUCCUGUUCAUCGUGCCAUUUUGGCAGCAAGGUGUCCAUUUUUUAAAUGCUUUCUUCCUCACCUGAGUAUGGGGCAGAGAUAAUAAUGGACAUCAAUACAGCUGGUAUUGAUAUGCCCAUGUUUUCUGCUUUGUUAUACUAUCUUUAUACAGGAGAGUUUGGAAUGGAAGACUCAGGGUUUCAAAAUGUCGUUAUCCUUGUUCAGCUUAGUGAAGAAUUCCCUUGAUGUAGAUAUGCGUGGACUCUUUGAUUACAUGUGUUAUUACGAUGUCGUCCUUAGCUUUUCUUCAGACUCUGAACUGGUUGAAGCUUUUGGUGGACAUCAGAACUGUUUAGAUGAAGAGCUCAAAGCCCACAAGGCUGUUAUUUCUGCACGGUCCCCAUUUUUUCAAAAUUUAUUACAAAGGAGAAUACCAACUGUUGAAGAAAUCACAGAUGGAACUUUGAGGACUCCCACAAGAAUUAUAUUAGAUGAGUCCAUUAUACCACAAAAAUAUGCAAAAGUGAUAUUACACUGUAUGUAUACCGACGCGGUGGACCUCUCUGUUUGGCACUGUAGCCCCUCUGUGGGGAGUCUCAGUGAAGUUCAGGCUCUCGUCGCAGGGAAGCCAAACAUGACCAGGGCAGGAAAAGCCAUGGAACUUUACCACACAGCACCGUUCUUGGAAUUUAACAUGCUUGCACAA
This 1453-nucleotide long non-coding RNA is filed under the name Homo sapiens (human). Its description in RNAcentral is "non-protein coding lnc-CCDC3-5:1". Lineage: Eukaryota; Metazoa; Chordata; Mammalia; Primates; Hominidae. The record is from RNAcentral.